This is a long non-coding RNA of Mirounga angustirostris (Northern elephant seal), 414 nucleotides long. RefSeq lists it as uncharacterized. The record is from RefSeq and is a predicted model, not a curated record. Lineage: Eukaryota; Metazoa; Chordata; Mammalia; Carnivora; Phocidae. The transcript is spliced from 3 exons.
CACCAUCUUGGGGGCGGCCUGCAUGACUGGUUUCUGUACCAUCCUCGGUGCCUCAGGCACCAGGGCUCCUUUUCCCUUCACUGUCAAGGAGCAUGAAGAGCACGCCCUGGACCUAACACCACCCACCAGUGUCUCAGGUACACUGGUGUAAGACUGAAAUUCUCUUCUGUUCAAAAGACAAGGUUUCUUGAAUUGUUCAUCUGCUCUGGAUAAGAAAAUGUAAACGAAGGACACCAUUGGAAACACUGGUUAUUUUACCAAGGUUUUGACUGGAAUGUCCUAUUUGAGAGACAUGCAUAGACUCAGAUGUGACCAAACAGCUUUAAGGAACUAAGGUUGACUUUAUCAAACCUGGAGCCAUAAAGCCCCUUGGAACUGCUGGCCUGAUACCUUGCUUACAGCGUUCCCAGCAGC